CAAACAUUUAUCGGCAACAGAGAACUGUAGUAUGUUUUAGAAACAUCAUUUAAUACAAAUACAAAAGACAGUGGUGGAAAAAAUCAUGUGAAACACAUGUUAAUUUUCACUGUUUGAAUGGCCUCGGAGUAAAAGCAGCUGUACAAGUGCCGCCAUAAAAAGGCAACAAGAUCGACGACAUUGGUCCUACCUGUAUUUCCGCUUGACUGCCAGACUCGCUGUCAUCGACCGUAUACUCUCCUUCCGCAGGAAGUCAGAAUCAGCAUCAACUUCAUCCACCCCAGGAACGUCAUAAUUCUUGGAUGAUUUCCGCCCUGAUUUCCGCUUAGUUAAAGUCCUUUCUGCAACGGCAUCCGGAUGACUCUCCAUAUCCGUGACACUGGUGCGCCCCUGGGAGGGGGCCCGGUUGCUCCUCCGCCUCCGUUUUGCCCUCUCCAGGGUGCGAGACAGCGUGUAACCCUGGUCCGAUGAAAGUGCACGGUGACUUGGGAGGCGAGACAAGAUGGCCGCCUGGGGACACCGCCUCCAACGUAGGUCAUUGUCAUCCGCAAUAUCCACAAACACAUCUGAAAUGGUAGUAAUGUGUUGUCAUGAAACACAAGCAUUGGUUACUUAAAAUUGAUUCCUACUUAGCUGCCAAAAACAAAACACACUUACACGAAUUGUUAUGGACACCUGAGAAAAACUCUUGGACAGAAACUGAGACAUAAUUCUGAAAUAUCUACGUCUAGUGUUAUUCUGCAGCAUAUAUCUCAGCAUAUACAAGUUCAGAUGCAUUUGUCUAAUUCAAUUUUGUCACAAGCAAUUGAUCACAUUUAGGAAAAAGUGAAAAACAAUCAUCUCAUACGGUUAUGGAUCCAUACAAAACAGAAAUACGGAGAACAUGGUGAGAAAAUACAUGCUAAAAUCACCUUUCUUCUGAUGAUGCGUGCUUCAGUUGUCAAAUGACUAUUAUCUUAACUUACUAAUUGUUAUAUCCUGAGCUUUUAGAUUUUUCUUUAACAUAAUAUUGAUUACAGAUGUUUAAUGUAUCCAACUGUGAGAUGAAUGGCCGCCUAUAUCUACCAAAUCACAGUAUUAUCUAAGGUUGUAUUGCCAUAUUGGAGGAACAUUGUUGGUAUCAUGAAAUAUAAGUUAAUAAAAGUUGUAGAAUUCA
This is a long non-coding RNA of Haliotis rubra (blacklip abalone), 1156 nucleotides long. RefSeq lists it as uncharacterized. The transcript is spliced from 2 exons. The record is from RefSeq and is a predicted model, not a curated record. Lineage: Eukaryota; Metazoa; Mollusca; Gastropoda; Lepetellida; Haliotidae.